GAUGAAGAACGUAGCGAAAUGCGAUAAGUAGUGUGAAUUGCAGAAUUCAAUGAAUCAUCGAAUCUUUGAACGCACAUUGCGCCCCUUGGUAUUCCAUGGGGCAUGCCUGUUCGAGCGUCAUUUGUACCUUCAAGCUUUGCUUGGUGUUGGGUGUUUGUCCCUCGGGACUCGCCUUAAAGUCAUUGGCAGCCAGUGUUUUGGUUUUGAAGCGCAGCACAAGUCGCGAUUCAAGGCUAUCCGCCCGCUUCCACAAGCCUUUUUCACUUUUGACCUCGGAUCAGGUAGGGAUACCCGCUGAACUUAAGCAUAUCAAUAAGCGGAGGA
This 324-nucleotide unclassified non-coding RNA is filed under the name soil metagenome. Its description in RNAcentral is "partial contains 5.8S ribosomal RNA, internal transcribed spacer 2, and large subunit ribosomal RNA". The stretch from base 1 to 120 matches the Rfam family "5.8S ribosomal RNA", at positions 35 to 154 of the family's 154-position model. The record is from RNAcentral.